RNAcentral lists this ribosomal RNA (322 nucleotides) under uncultured eukaryote. Its description in RNAcentral is "partial 18S ribosomal RNA". It matches the Rfam family "Eukaryotic small subunit ribosomal RNA", at positions 1470 to 1796 of the family's 1831-position model. The record is from RNAcentral.
CCCUUAGAUGUUCUGGGCCGCACGCGUGCUACACUGAGUGGAUCAGCGGGUCAGGUUGCGCGAAAGUGUUUCCUAAUCUUUAAAUCCGCUCGUGAUGGGGAUUGACGGUUGCAAUUUUCCGUCAUGAACGAGGAAUACCUUGUAAGCGCGGGUCAUCAUCCCGCGCUGAAUACGUCCCUGCCCUUUGUACACGCCACCCGUCGCUCCUACCGAUUGAGUGGUCCGGUGAGGCUUUGGGAUCUGAGCGGAAAGAGCGUUUCGCUGUUUCUGCCCGGAAAACUCAGUCGAACCUUAUCAUUUAGAGGAAGGAGAAGUCGUAACA